Molecule: non-coding RNA, 186 nt
Filed under: Frateuria sp.
Lineage: Bacteria; Pseudomonadati; Pseudomonadota; Gammaproteobacteria; Lysobacterales; Rhodanobacteraceae
Description: 6S RNA
Rfam family: 6S / SsrS RNA
About the family: E. coli 6S RNA was the first non coding RNA to be sequenced, but its function was unknown until recently. It consists of 184 nucleotides that fold into an extended hairpin structure with a large single-stranded internal bulge. The 6S RNA specifically associates with RNA polymerase holoenzyme containing the sigma70 specificity factor.
Source: RNAcentral
CGUUUUCUGCGGUGUGCGCCAGCACACUCUUACAUUUGCCUUGUUCCUACAUACGACCCCGGGUCGGUUUCACAUGGCUGUUGUGCAUGUCCGCCGCGAGCGGAAAGCCUCUAAGGCCAUGGUGCCCUCCCACCUGAUCCAAAGGGAUCAAGGUCGUUUGGUGUGCAGCGGCAUCGCGGUUGACGC